Molecule: ribosomal RNA, 1307 nt
Filed under: Odontomantis sp. JZ-2017
Lineage: Eukaryota; Metazoa; Arthropoda; Insecta; Mantodea; Hymenopodidae
Description: 16S ribosomal RNA
Rfam family: Archaeal large subunit ribosomal RNA (bases 1063-1220)
Source: RNAcentral
AAUUAAUAAAAUUGUUAUAAUAUAUAUAUAUAUAAUAAAUUUAGAUUAAAUAAAUUUUAGUUAUUGUAAGAUAAAUAGAUAUAAUAAUUUUUACUAUAAUGAAUUAGUACUGUAAAGGAAUUUAUAAUGAUUAAUUUAAUAUUAAUUAAAGUUAAUUUUAUUAAUUGUAUCUUGUGUAUCAGAGUAUAUUUAAAUUAAUUAUUUAUUUUUGUUUUUCUCGAAUUUAAAAGAUUUAAUUAGGUAAUUUAGUUAUUGUUUCAUAAAUAUUAAUAAUUCUUAAUUGGUAAUGAGAUGUUAAUCGUUUUUAAGGAUAUCUAGUUUUUUAAUAAAUGAAUUUAAUUCAGGAUACGUUAAUUAUUUAAUAUUUACUUAUUGUAAUAUUUUAUGUUUCUAAUUUUUAAAGGGAUUAACUUUUAGAAAUAAAUAUUAUAAUAUUUAUUUCUGUUUUGAAUUACAUGAAUUUAGAAUUUGUUAUUGAUUAAAGUAUGUUAAAAUUUAAUUCUAUUUUUAUGAAAUUUUAAAUUUUUAUUUAAUUUUUUUAUUAAAAUUUAAAAUUUAAUCUUUUAUUUUAAGAUCUAAUGAUAUUAUUAGUAAAUUUAAAUUUAUAAUGUAAAUAUAUUUUUAAUGUUGAUAUAAAGAAUUAGGCAAAAAUUUUACUCACCUGUUUAUUAAAAACAUGGUUUCUUGUAUUUAUUUUAAGAGAUCUAACCUGCCCACUGAAUUUUGAAGGGCCGCAGUAUUUUGACUGUGCAAAGGUAGCAUAAUCAUUAGUCUUUUAAUUGAAGGCUGGUAUGAAUGGUUGGAUGAGGUAAAUUCUGUUUUAUAUUAAUUUUAAUUGAAUUUAGAGUUUAAGUAAAAAUACUUAAAUUAUAUUAAGGGACGAGAAGACCCUAUAGAGUUUAAUAAAUUAAGUAUUUAAUUAAGUUAAAUAAAAAUUUUUGAUUAUUAUGGUUUUUAUUUAAUUGGGGUGAUUAGAAGAUAAAUUUAACUCUUUUUUGUUUUUAAUUUUUUAUUUAGUUUUUUGAUCCAUAUUUAAUGAUUAUAAGAUUAAAUUACCUUAGGGAUAACAGCAUAAUUUCUUUUGAGAGUUCAUAUCGAAAAAGAAGAUUGUGACCUCGAUGUUGGAUUAAGAUUAGUUGAGGUGUAGGUGUUGAUAAACUGGGUCUGUUCGACCUUUAAAAUCUUACAUGAUCUGAGUUUAAACCGGCGUAAGCCAGGUUGGUUUCUAUCUUUAAUUUUAUUUAAUAUUUUAGUACGAGAGGACCAAAUAUUUAAAAUAAUUUUUAUUUAAUGAAUUUUAUUAAUAU